Long non-coding RNA from Etheostoma spectabile (orangethroat darter), 813 nucleotides. RefSeq lists it as uncharacterized. The record is from RefSeq and is a predicted model, not a curated record. The transcript is spliced from 2 exons. Lineage: Eukaryota; Metazoa; Chordata; Actinopteri; Perciformes; Percidae.
GAAAAACAACACGACAAUGACUGAAGCAGUGACAGCUAACUAAACAGUCUUUCAUGUAAUCUACAGGAGGCGGGGGUGGUGGGGGAGAUCAGAUGACUAAUUAUACUCUGCUGUGAAGCCUGAAGCAGUGCACUAUGGGAAUCAUCGAGGGCUGAACCCCGUCACAAAGGCUCUGAUCAUUGAACAGACCCAGCUCUUAUUUUGGUUUUCAUUUCAGACUCAGCAGGUGGUGGAGUGAUUAACACCACAACAGGAGUUGAUCAAGCACAGAAAGACAAACACUGGUACGAUCGUGUGCCUUCUGCUCAAGGCUCAGCAAUGUGACGCUGUUGGUGGGAAACGAACAGGGUCUAUUCUGUGCUGUGCGUUUCUACAACAAGAAGGAGAUGAGUGAACGCGACUGCAUGCGGACCUCACCCCUGCACAAACUCAAACACCUCCAUUUCGCUUGGUAUGGAAAUGUGUCUCAUAUUCAGACUGUGGAUAUUAACAUUUGUUACCAGCAUGCCCUUUCCCUUGUCUUACAUCUCCUCCAACCUUACAUGUGCUUAGAGACUCAUUUUCAUAAUUAUGUUACCUUUUGAGAUGGCGGUUUGAUUUCAUGAGUUUGCCUGUUCUGUUUAUAUAGCUAAAACGUAUGAAUGAAUGAAUAAAUGUAUUUCAGACAACAACAUGACAUAAACAAAACAAAUACACAAAAAAUGUGUUAAUUAGUUUGCAAAAUGAAAUAAAAAGCACAUUACAUAACAUACAGUGGCUUGAGAAAGUUGACACACCCAUGCUAAAGUUGAUUAAAAAGAAGAAUAAAAAAAA